UACGGAGGGUGCGAGCGUUGUCCGGAAUUAUUGGGCGUAAAGAGCUCGUAGGCGGUUUGUUGCGUCUAUCGUGAAAACCUGCGGCUUAACUGUGGGCUUGCGGUGGAUACGGGCAGACUUGAGUUCGGUAGGGGAGACUGGAAUUCCUGGUGUAGCGGUGAAAUGCGCAGAUAUCAGGAGGAACACCGGUGGCGAAGGCGGGGCUCUGGGCCGAUACUGACGCUGAGGAGCGAAAGCGUGGGGAGCGAGCAGG
Molecule: ribosomal RNA, 253 nt
Filed under: uncultured bacterium
Lineage: Bacteria
Description: partial 16S ribosomal RNA
Rfam family: Bacterial small subunit ribosomal RNA
Source: RNAcentral